AAUUCAGCGAGUUCUUAUACAAAACUAAUAUUCGAUAAUGUAAUUUACAGCUGUUCCCUCUUAUGGCUCUGUUGUCAUUCCUGUGCCUGUUUAGCAGCAGUUUAAACUGGAAAUUCAUUGUCCGGCUCUCUAUCAAACUUGUUGGCGGCUACUAACUUUUGGUCAUCAAACCGUUAUUCACAACGUUUAGCAUAAAACUGUUCCAGCAAAACCCACUUAUAUACUUUGGAAAACUGGUAAACAAAUAACGGCAGUUUUUCCACAAUAGUGCUUGCUGUUAAUAACAGUGAAGCAAGAUGUUAAGCUUUCGGAUGCAAAACAUAUAAAGUGGAAGAGGAAGACAGUCGAACAAUAGAAGACAAUUAAAGAAAUAAAUAAAACACUGUGGGAUUGUGCAUGGAAGUUGAGUUCUGUUUGCCACCGAUGUAACGAGAAAAGCUGCUACACGUCGUUCUCGCUUUUCGCGACAGUCGCAAAACAGUUUUACAUGAGCCAACUAUGAAAAUUGGCGUUAAUUAAACUAAGAGAAACCUACGGCAAAAAUUGUAAACGCCAAAAUGUGGAUACAACCCAAAGAGCUGCUGCUACCGUCGGCAUUUUGGACCGCCGAAAUGUACUCCAGGUAUUUUGUGCUACAGAAGCGACGCGGACAUGGCGAAUCGCGUGGAUUUGGCUCAAUGCUGGUGGGCACCUUCGACAGCGUGAUGAACACAAAGCCGGCGCCCUAUCGAAUACUGCAUCAGACGCCGUCCUCGGAAGUGUCUUAUGAAAUUGCCAUUGGCAUAACACAAGAUGACAUCGUCAAGGAUUGGGAAUGGCUGCAGACCAAUCUCUUCAGCGUGCUCAACGAAAUGGAAAACGAGGAUGAAGUUACAAACUUUACCAUAUGCAAAAUACAAUCGCUCUAUGCUCAAAAUAAUCAAGACGAAUCUGGCGAAUCGCCAGACUUCAAAGUGAAGUCCUCUAACUUUAGACAAAUCUUCAAGAUGCCCGAAGAGGAACGCCUGGUCAACUCGUACUCGGCCACCUAUAUUAAGAAUAAAAUACCGCGCCAGGGGCAGUUGUACAUCUCGUUGAACCAUGUGUGUUUCUACUCGCUCAUGCUUAACCAGGAGAUCAAGCUAAUCAUACGCUUCGCUGAGCUGGAGGACAUCAGUCGCAGUGGCAAUACAAUUUAUCUGAAGACUACCAACAACAUGACGUACAAUUUUACGCUGAUGUUCAACAUGAAUGAGGCACACGUCCUCAUUGAACAGCUGAACAAAAUGGCCAUCCAAAAGUUAAUACAUGACCCAGAGAGUCCCGUUGUGGACCAUGAUCCAUCGAAUUUUGCACGUCUUGGCGCUAAAACUUCAAAGAAGUCGGUGCUGCUGCGUGACUUGACGGCUCGUCAAAAAUCUGAAGAGUUUCGCGUUUACUUUCGUCUGCCGCAAACGGAAAUUAUUGAUGGCAAGAUUAAAGCCGACAUAUGGACUCCGUACUCAAAGCGAUUCAAUGCCGGCUACAUUUAUCUGUCGCCCAAUUUCUUUUGCUUUCGCAGCGAUGUCAAGGAUUUGGUUAGCGUCGUAAUACCAAUGAAAACUAUUAAGAGUGUUGAGAAGAAGGACGAUGGUCAGCAACGUUUUGACAAUCAAAUUGUCAUCUUUACAGCGGAGAAUGUGCCUUUUAUGUUCGCCAAAAUUGCGGAUCGCGAGGUGCUCAUCUCGAAAAUAACAGAUCUACUGUCGCGAAUUCAUAUACCGGUUAGUCGCGAACGUGCCAAGUACGAUAUCUCGUGGAGCAAACAGACCGCUCUGCUCAACACAUUCAAGACGGAGUUCAGCGCGGACAUACAGAAGAAGCAGGAGCUAAAACUGGCACGCUGGGAAGAACAUUUUCGCGAUUUUGGACGCGGCAUUGCUAUGUAUCGCACCACAGAUGUGAUCAAUUUAAUUGUGGAGGGGAUACCGGACAAGCUUAGGCAGGAGAUUUGGCUAAUCUUCUCUGGCGCUAUACACGACAAAGAAAUGAAUCCCGGUCUGUAUGAGGAUUUGGUGGAGAAAGCCGCUUGCAUUAAAGAUUCGUAUACGCACGAGGAAAUCGAUAGGGACUUGAAGCGUUCGCUGCCCGAGCAUCCGGCAUUCCAAUGUACCGAUGGCACCGGCGCCCUGAGACGAGUGCUGCAGGCAUAUGCGCUGCGCAAUCCGCAGGUGGGCUACUGUCAGGCCAUGAACAUUGUUUCAUCGGUGUUUCUGCUCUUUUGCGAUGAGGAGAACGCCUUUUGGAUGCUGGCCAGCCUCUGCGAGAAUCUGUUGCCAGACUACUACAAGGACAAGGUUGUGGGUGCCCAGAUUGAUCAGGGCGUGCUUAAUGAGCUGGUGGAGACAUAUCUGUCGGAUUUGCAUGAGCAUCUGGAACGACUUAACGUUAUUAAAAUGAUCUCCAUCUCGUGGUUUCUCGCCAUAUUCAUAAGUGUGAUCAGCUACGAGAGUUCCUUGCAAAUAUUGGACUGCUUCUUCUACGAAGGCGCCAAGAUAAUUUUCAUGGUCUCACUGCAGAUCAUUGAAUGGAACCGCGACAAGCUGCUCAACUGUCAGGACGAUGGGGAGGCCAUGCUGGUAUUGCAAACCUAUUUAGAGGGAAUCUACAAUCCCGAAUACCAAGUGCCACAGACCGCGGACAAGCGCGAGCGAGUGCGCACCCAAACAGUGCAGACUCUGAUACACGAAGCGUAUACGAAAUUCGGCGAGGAGCUGACGCAGCAGCGCAUCGAGGAGCUGCGCAAUAAGCAUCGUCGCCUCACCAUGCGACAGUUCGACAUUGACAACGAGAAGACCAUUGUAAAGGCCCAUAUGCAGAAUGUGUACUUUGAGCGGCAGGAACUGCACAUGCUGCUCACAAUAAUACGGGAGGAGAAGCUGACACUCAAGUCUAUGCAGCAGCAGCAGCAGAAGGCCCAAUGCCACAUGAGUGAAGCGCCGCAGCUGCUGCCUCAUCAUCAGUCACCGACACGUGCUGGACUUGGCGAUGUUAUGCCCGGUGGCGGCAAUGGACGGCAUGAGGCUUACAGCGUCAACUUUGAAGUAUUCCACACGCUCUUCACAGAGCUAACGCCCUGGCGCAAGUGCGUCAGCGUUGAUGUUGGCGAAAAAUUGUUCAGGCUGACGGACAAAAAAGGCACCGGACAACUGGACUUUGGUCAGCUAAUCAAUGCUUUUGGCAUGGUCUGCUCCAGCAAGAGCACGGAGAAACUGAAGCUGCUCUUUGUGUUGCAUUUGCCGCCGCUGCUGUCGAAGGCCGAAAUUGAACGCAUGCGACGUCCGCGACCGCGGACCAAAGAUGAUGCCGAGGAGGCAUUCGAAGCAGAGGAUUUCUUUGACGAGGAUGCCUCAGAGUCGAUUGAAGCGCUGCCGUCUCCAUCGGAUCACAACUUUGAUGCCGAUGACUAUGCGCUGGUUAGCGCCACGCAGCAUUUGCAUAAUCUGGCUGGCAUUUCGGGUAACACAUUCAUGGAUUUGUCAAGGACAACGCCGAAUCUUUCGCUGAAUUCGAAUGCAUCGUCGCUGGCGCAGCGCAACUCGACUUUUUAUGUGGAUCUGCCCGCUGCACUCCAGGGUACUGCAACACGCACAGAUGCUGGGCAGGAUGACGACAACGACAUCGGCCUACGCCAGCAGGGACGUUACGAAUCGAUUGACACAUUUUCGGAUAUUUCAGAUCUGGGCGCGGCACGCAUAACGCCGCCGCAAACAUCGACGACAGCUGCAGCCGCAACUGCUGCAGAACAAAUGCUACUGAACGUUGAGACUAUAUCGAAUUUCUCACAGAUCAGCGACCUGGUCGCGGCCACGCGUCUAGAGCGCGCCGAUUCGAAUGCAACGGACACACGCAGCUUGGGCAGCCUCGGCUAUUUGCUGGAUGAGGGUGCCUCCGCCACUGGACAGCACCGUCAGGUACCCAACAUGCGCAAGGAGAACUUCCAGCUGUUGUGGCGUAGCAUCAUUGAGAUAAUGGGCUGUGUACAGGACGAGGAUAUGCGACGUGCAUACGAAAAUCUCAUUGAAAUGGGCAACAGCAAUAUCAAGAAGGAGCCAAGCUUGGAGAGUUUCACGCAGCUCAAUUUGGGCGGCAGCAGCGAUGAGCAACCGGAUAGCAAUGGAAAUCCCACAACACCCGCGGCAGAGCCCAGCAGCACGACACGUUUAUUUGUGGCUCUCGAGGAGGAGUUGCGUCAGGCACAAGCAGGAACAGCCGCUGUAGCUGGAACAUCAGCAACAGCGACCACAUCCAACAGCAGCGGCAGCAGCAGUAGCACAAACACCUCGGAUGCCUGGAAUAUAUCCAUUAAUCAGUUUAUAGCCACAGUACUCACUUGCGAAUGCAUUGUUAAAGCAUUCCAGACGCGCACCCACAUCGUGGAGCAGAUUGAACAGCUGCAGAAGAAGCGACCGCACAGGCAUUAGGAAGAGCCAGAAACGCUUUAAGGCACAUUUCGUAAUGUGGAUUUAAGAAAAACCACAUCGAUUUAAUAAGCUAUAGUUAGGAACAGCUGUGCGCCAGCAAGUCGCAGCCGGUGUCGGGACAUUCGUCAUAAUUCUAGCGAAUUGCGCUAAUGAAAAGCAUAAAACAACAGCUUAGCAGCUGGGUAACCUCCUGCUCCGGUUGACAGGAAUAGCUGCCGGAAAGGCCGAAGGACACGCGAACGUGGAACUGCCAUGUUGACAAGGAAAUUAAGAAUUUACUGAUUGAAUUUUAUGACUCUAUAUCUGAGCUGCUUAUGUAAAUCGCAUUCUAAACCAGGCCAGGCCAUAAAAUGGCCCAGAUGCGAGUGCACAAGUCCUUAAAGGCGCAGAAACCAGCCUGGAAGACAGGCAGGCAGACAGUCGGAAAGCGUAAAUCAAUUUGCGGCUCAGGUUUGAUAAAGACUUCCUUUUGGAUUCGGCAGCCUCUUUAGC
Drosophila novamexicana is the source of this 4934-nucleotide RNA transcript. It is a transcript of the gene named TBC1 domain family member 9, with no coding region annotated. The transcript has 13 exons. NCBI's taxonomy places the organism in Eukaryota, Metazoa, Arthropoda, Insecta, Diptera, Drosophilidae. The record is from RefSeq and is a predicted model, not a curated record.